GGAUGAACGCUAGCGGCAGGCUUAACACAUGCAAGUCGAGGGGUAACGAUGGUGCUUGCACCAGGCGACGACCGGCGGACGGGUGAGUAACACGUAUGCAAUUUGCCUUUAACUGGAGGAUAGCUUCGGGAAACCGUAAUUAAUACUCCAUAGUAUUCAAAAGACGCAUGUUUUUUGAAUUAAAGCUCCGGCGGUUAAAGAUAAGCAUGCGGGACAUUAGCUAGUUGGUAAGGUAACGGCUUACCAAGGCGACGAUGUCUAGGGGGUUUGAGAGGAUGAUCCCCCACACUGGUACUGAGACACGGACCAGACUCCUACGGGAGGCAGCAGUGAGGAAUAUUGGGCAAUGGGCGCAAGCCUGACCCAGCCAUGCCGCGUGCAGGAUGAAGGUCCUAUGGAUCGUAAACUGCUUUUGUAUGGGAAGAACUUCCCGCAUUCGUGCGGGAUUGACGGUACUAUACGAAUAAGGACCGGCUAACUCCGUGCCAGCAGCCGCGGUAAUACGGAGGGUCCAAGCGUUAUCCGGAUUCACUGGGUUUAAAGGGUGCGUAGGUGGAACGAUAAGUCGAUGGUGAAAGCCUACAGCUUAACUGUAGAAUUGCCAUUGAUACUGUUGUUCUUGAGUAUAGUCGGGGGAAGUGGAAUGCGUAAUGUAGCGGUGAAAUGCAUAGAUAUUACGCAGAACACCGAUCGCGAAAGCAGCUUCCUAGGCUAUUACUGACACUGAGGCACGAAAGCGUGGGGAGCGAACAGGAUUAGAUACCCUGGUAGUCCACGCCGUAAACGAUGCUCACUCGCUGUUGGCGAUAUAUUGUCAGCAGUUAAGCUAAAGCAUUAAGUGAGCCACCUGGGAAGUACGUCCGCAAGGAUGAAACUCAAAGGAAUUGACGGGGGCCCGCACAACCGGUGGAACAUGUGGUUCAAUUCGAUGAUACGCGAGGAACCUUACCUGGGCUUAAAUGUAGUUUGACUUCCGCCGAAAGGCGGUUUUCCUUCGGGACAAAUUACAAGGUGCUGCACGGCUGUCGUCAGCUCGUGCCGUGAGGUAUCGGGUUAAGUCCCUUAACGAGCGCAACCCCUAUUGUUAGUUACCAACAG
This 1098-nucleotide ribosomal RNA is filed under the name uncultured organism. RNAcentral's name for it is "bacterial SSU rRNA". It matches the Rfam family "Bacterial small subunit ribosomal RNA", at positions 27 to 1124 of the family's 1533-position model. The record is from RNAcentral.